Molecule: transfer RNA, 64 nt
Filed under: Craugastor trachydermus
Lineage: Eukaryota; Metazoa; Chordata; Amphibia; Anura; Craugastoridae
Description: tRNA-Cys
Source: RNAcentral
GGUUCUGGGGUGUUACAUGUGGGCUUGCAAUUCCCAAGAAGCAGAAAAAUCUUCUGCCGGAGCU